Molecule: ribosomal RNA, 475 nt
Filed under: Clostridioides difficile
Lineage: Bacteria; Bacillati; Bacillota; Clostridia; Peptostreptococcales; Peptostreptococcaceae
Description: bacterial SSU rRNA
Rfam family: Bacterial small subunit ribosomal RNA
Source: RNAcentral
GAGGGUGAUCGGCCACAUUGGAACUGAGACACGGUCCAAACUCCUACGGGAGGCAGCAGUGGGGAAUAUUGCACAAUGGGCGAAAGCCUGAUGCAGCAACGCCGCGUGAGUGAUGAAGGCCUUCGGGUCGUAAAACUCUGUCCUCAAGGAAGAUAAUGACGGUACUUGAGGAGGAAGCCCCGGCUAACUACGUGCCAGCAGCCGCGGUAAUACGUAGGGGGCUAGCGUUAUCCGGAUUUACUGGGCGUAAAGGGUGCGUAGGCGGUCUUUCAAGUCAGGAGUGAAAGGCUACGGCUCAACCGUAGUAAGCUCUUGAAACUGGGAGACUUGAGUGCAGGAGAGGAGAGUGGAAUUCCUAGUGUAGCGGUGAAAUGCGUAGAUAUUAGGAGGAACACCAGUUGCGAAGGCGGCUCUCUGGACUGUAACUGACGCUGAGGCACGAAAGCGUGGGGAGCAAACAGGAUUAGAUACCCUG